UCGAGGAUCUUCCGCAAUGGGCGCAAGCCUGACGGAGCGACGCCGCGUGUGGGAUGAAGGCCUUCGGGUUGUAAACCACUGUCACUCGUUAAGAAAGGGUCCGGUGUUAACAGCAUCGGAAACUGACAAAGGCGAGAGAGGAAGCCACGGCUAACUUCGUGCCAGCAGCCGCGGUAAGACGAAGGUGGCGAGCGUUGUUCGGAAUCACUGGGCAUAAAGCGCACGUAGGCGGCGACGUAAGUUGGGUGUGAAAUCCCUCGGCCCAACCGAGGAACUGCGCCCAGUACUGCGUUGCUUGAGGAUCCAAGGGGUGCAUGGAAUUCCCGGUGGAGCGGUGAAAUGCGUUGAUAUCGGGAGGAACUCCGGCGGCGAAAGCGGUGCACUGGUGGAUUUCUGACGCUGAGGUGCGAAAGCCAGGGGAGCAAACG
This 428-nucleotide ribosomal RNA is filed under the name uncultured bacterium. RNAcentral's name for it is "partial 16S ribosomal RNA". It matches the Rfam family "Bacterial small subunit ribosomal RNA", at positions 355 to 774 of the family's 1533-position model. The record is from RNAcentral.